UGGGGAAUCUUGCGCAAUGGGGGCAACCCUGACGCAGCCAUGCCGCGUGAACGAUGAAGGCCUUAGGGUUGUAAAGUUCUUUUGCCCGUGACGAUGAUGACGGUAACGGGAGAAUAAGCUCCGGCUAACUUCGUGCCAGCAGCCGCGGUAAUACGAAGGGGGCUAGCGUUGUUCGGAAUUACUGGGCGUAAAGCGCGCGCAGGCGGUUCGAUAAGUUGGGGGUGAAAUCCCUGGGCUCAACCCAGGAAUGGCCUUCAAGACUGUCGAGCUUGAGGACGAGAGAGGUGAGUGGAAUUCCCAGUGUAGAGGUGAAAUUCGUAGAUAUUGGGAAGAACACCGGUGGCGAAGGCGGCUCACUGGCUCGUUUCUGACGCUGAGGCGCGAAAGCGUGGGGAGCAAACAGGAUUAGAUACCCUGGUAGUCCACGCUGUAAACGAUGAGUGCCAGGUGUUGGGAGGCUUUGCCUCUCGGCGCCGCAGCUAACGCCUUAAGCACUCCGCCUGGGGAGUACGGCCGC
Molecule: ribosomal RNA, 517 nt
Filed under: uncultured bacterium
Lineage: Bacteria
Description: bacterial SSU rRNA
Rfam family: Bacterial small subunit ribosomal RNA
Source: RNAcentral